This is a non-coding RNA of Mus caroli (Ryukyu mouse), 781 nucleotides long. The record is from RefSeq and is a predicted model, not a curated record. Lineage: Eukaryota; Metazoa; Chordata; Mammalia; Rodentia; Muridae.
GUGUUAUUUUGUGUAUUUCCAGGUUGGAAAACCAAAGAGGAAAUUCCUAAGCUGGUUUCUGACUAUAUGGCACAGAAGUUUAACCUAGAUCCUCUGAUCACCCACACCCUGACUCUCAGUGAGGUCAAUGAGGCAAUUCAGCUAAUGAAAAGUGGGCAAUGUAUCCGCUGUGUCCUGCUACCAUAAUUACAAGAGCUACAUAUUUCAUCAUGGAUCAUGAUUUAAAGGAAUCCGCCACACAAUGCUUUUCUAUUUUCUUGGCUUUCAUUUACUCAGCAACAAUUUCGUAUCAAGCUUCUCACCUGACCACACCAUCGAAAUGAAUCCCAUGUGACCCAAUGCCAUGGAGAUCCAGCCUCCCUUUUACAGCCACGUUCAAGUUGAUGUGAAUCACCCAAUAGCAGAUGCUGCAGAUGAAGGCACACCAAGAGGCUCCAUUGGACAGCUGUCUCUACCUAGGGACACACAUUUCCUCACUCACUGGAUCUUUCCCACGCUGUAUGGAUCCACACAUGAAAGCUCUGGGGAUGGUCCACACGGUGCAGAAUUCCCACCGGAGAAAUAACUGGAACUGAUAAACAAUUGAGCUAGUGUUUAGGUCACACCACCAACACCACAAGAACCAAUAGUGUGGUUGUAUGACAAUAGCAAGGCAUCUGAUACGGAAAUCAAGGAAGCAAUCUCACAACUGCUAUGAAAUUGAUCUCACAAAUAAAUUAACAACAUAGAAACAAAUUUAGUCAAAGGUGAAAUAUUUCUACAAUAAAAAGUAUAAAACAUU